RNAcentral lists this ribosomal RNA (498 nucleotides) under uncultured bacterium. RNAcentral describes it as "bacterial SSU rRNA". It matches the Rfam family "Bacterial small subunit ribosomal RNA", at positions 28 to 509 of the family's 1533-position model. The record is from RNAcentral.
GAUGAACGCUAGCGGCAGGCUUAAUACAUGCAAGUUGAGGGGCAGCAUGAUAUACGCGAGUAUAUUGAUGGCGACCGGCGGACGGGUGAGUAAUAGGUAGGAGACCUACCUCAUACAGGGGGAUAGCAUAGAGAAAUCUGUGGUAAUACCCCAUGAGGUUAUAUGAAUAGAGGCAUAUAAUCAAAGCAUAAGCGAUUAUGCGGUAUGAGAGGGGCCUACUGACCAUUAGCUAGUUGGUGAGGUAAGGGCUCACCAAGGCGAAGAUGGUUAGGGGUUUUGAGAGAGAGACCCCCCACAUUGGAACUGAGAGACGGUCCAGACUCCUACGGGAGGCAGCAGUAGGGAAUAUUGGGCGAAUGGGCGAAAGCCUGACCCAGCCAUGCCGCGUGAAGGAAGACGGCCUUAUGGGUUGUAAACUUCUUUACUACGCGAAUAGAGGUUAGUACGAGAUACUAAUAGGAAGGUAGUGUAGUAAAAGACACCGGCUAACUCCGUGCC